UUGCACGCUGGCGGCAGGCCUAACACCUGCAAGUCGCACGGUAACAGGGAUCAGCUUGCUGAUUCGCUGACGAGUGGCGGACGGGUGAGUAAUGUCUGGGAAACUGCCUGAUGGAGGGGGAUAACUACUGGAAACGGUAGCUAAUACCGCAUAACGUCGCAAGACCAAAGAGGGGGACCUUCGGGCCUCUUGCCAUCGGAUGUGCCCAGAUGGGAUUAGCUAGUAGGUGGGGUAACGGCUCACCUAGGCGACGAUCCCUAGCUGGUCUGAGAGGAUGACCAGCCACACUGGAACUGAGACACGGUCCAGACUCCUACGGGAGGCAGCAGUGGGGAAUAUUGCACAAUGGGCGCAAGCCUGAUGCAGCCAUGCCGCGUGUAUGAAGAAGGCCUUCGGGUUGUAAAGUACUUUCAGCGGGGAGGAAGGGAGUAAAGUUAAUACCUUUGCUCAUUGACGUUACCCGCAGAAGAAGCACCGGCUAACUCCGUG
RNAcentral lists this ribosomal RNA (489 nucleotides) under uncultured bacterium. RNAcentral describes it as "partial 16S ribosomal RNA". It matches the Rfam family "Bacterial small subunit ribosomal RNA", at positions 30 to 507 of the family's 1533-position model. The record is from RNAcentral.